GUUGAAUCAGCCCCCGUCGCUCCAAUUGAGUCUGCCACCGCAGACCCCGCCCCGGUUGAGGCGCCAGCCACCAAUGUUGCCCCUCCGGCGGCGAAGACUGCCAAGGCGAAGGCCACGAAGGCUUCCAAGGAGAAGAAGGCUGUGACAAAGAAGCCCUCUCUGCAUCCUACCUAUCUUGAGAUGAUCCGUGAGGCGAUAGUCUCCCUGAAGGAAAGGACUGGGUCAAGCCAGUAUGCAAUCUCGA
This 244-nucleotide unclassified non-coding RNA is filed under the name Hevea brasiliensis (rubber tree). Lineage: Eukaryota; Viridiplantae; Streptophyta; Magnoliopsida; Malpighiales; Euphorbiaceae. The record is from RNAcentral.